GAAUAAUCGCGGGUCACCUACGAGUCGGAACCACCUAUAGUGGUCAGUACGACAAGCCUGUGCACCUAACUUGGAUCCAAGGUGAGCGUAUGGUGCGGGAGGUGAACAUUACGUGAAGGACUGUGCCCUAACCAUGGCAGGAGCACUAACACCGGGGUGCAAGUUUAUGAACUCUCAACACAUCUCACAUAAUCAUCAAUUUACAUAAACAAUCUACAACUCACCUGGUACUUACCUGAUCUUCCACAACGUCAAAUCACAUUUAUGCAUACUAUAUCAAUUCAAUGAUCUACGUAUAAAUCAAUAUGCAUGACAUUUCUAAACAUAAAUUCAUUUAAAUCGAUUUUUUGGUAAAAAUCUCAAGUAUAUAGGUAUAUACGGAAAACCAAAAGCUCACUCACUGGUAUGUGGAAGGGUCGUAACCCCCAAGCCUCGAUUGACUACGCUCGUCUUGAGGAUAGGUCUCACCUAUAUGCGAAACAACUAUAUAAACGUUAAUUUAAAGCACAUAAACAAAACUAGCUAAU
RNAcentral lists this long non-coding RNA (527 nucleotides) under Malus domestica (apple). RNAcentral's name for it is "long non-coding RNA (MDOM_LNC002900)". The record is from RNAcentral. Lineage: Eukaryota; Viridiplantae; Streptophyta; Magnoliopsida; Rosales; Rosaceae.